ACGUCUGCCCCGCCACUGAAUCGGAAGUUCUGGGCUGCAGUUGCGUGGAAAUGGGCACUGGUGGGCGGAGUGGGCUUCGGCCAGGCAAGGGGAACGCAGAAGGGGUGACAGCGGGAAAGGGGAAGGCGGAUGGGGUGGCAGUGACUCCUACUGCUGCCUCAGCCUCCUGCCAGUACAGGUGUAUCGAAUGCAACCAGGAGGCCAAGGAGUUGUACCGAGACUAUAACCACGGCGUGCUGAAGAUAACCAUCUGUAAAUCCUGCCAGAAACCUGUAGACAAAUACAUCGAGUAUGAUCCUGUUAUCAUCUUGAUUAAUGCUAUUUUAUGCAAAGCCCAGGCCUACAGGCAUAUUCUUUUCAAUACUAAAAUAAACAUGCAUGGAAAACUCUGCGUCUUCUGUUUGCUAUGUGAAGCUUACCUGAGAUGGUGGCAGCUUCAAGAUUCGAGCCGGAUCACUGAUCCUGAUGACUUUAUCAGAUAUGCCAAGGAAUGGGAUUUCUAUAGAAUGUUUGCAAUUGCUUCUCUAGAACAAACUGCCUAUUUUAGUGGCAUUUUUACUUUCCUGUGGGUAGAACGACCCCUAAGAGCGAAAAAAAAACUCAACUUCGUUUUGCUGCUGAAAGCAUUAUUAUUAUCCAGCUACGGAAAACUCCUGCUGAUUCCAGCUGUCAUUUGGGAACAUGAUUACACACCCCUGUGCCUCAGACUCAUUAAAGUAUUUGUCCUCACAUCAAACUUUCAGGCAAUUAGAGUGACCCUGAAUGUCAGCCGCAAGCUCUCCUUCUUGGCCAUCCUGAGUGGCUUACUGGUGGAGAGCACCAUGGUCUACUUCUUCCAGAGGAUGGAAUGGGCUGUCGGAAGCGACUGUGCCAUCUACAAGUCUCAAGACUUUUGAAGAGGUAGAGAGCAUCUCGGUGUUCAUGCACACGCGCAAGUGCCCUCAAAUUAGACAGAGGUCAGGGAAUUCCCUGGUGGCCUUGUGGUUUCAUUCUUUACCAUCUGUGGCAUGACCAGCUGCAUCCGUAAAACAGAAGACAUAAAAUAUAAACCACGCUUCUCAUUAUUGUUGUGUAAAAUGAAGCAAAGAUCUGGAUAUGCUUCCUGGGGAAAAAAAAGCAACGAUUAUGGUGCUGGGGACUCCUAACCCAUCACCCCAGCCCUACAUGUAGGAAACAGAGCAGGUACAGAUUUGCACACACAGACACUCAGACACAAGGAAUGUUGCCACAGGAAGGGACGUACACAGCAAGUGACGAGGUUGACCUUCUAGACUCUUCAGGUAAGCGUUCAGGCUGAAGGAACACGAACUCCUGAGUCACAGAUAAGAAGAUAAGAAGAGCUCUGUUUCAUUCCUUUGCCGUAUUUAUAUUUAUAUUUAAAUGUUAAUGGUUAAACUGAGCUUUUGUGAAUUUUCAAUUCAGUAUCUUCUCCUGUGACUAAGUUACUCUCUGAAAUCAGCUGAUCCAAAAAGAAAUAACUAAAAACAGCUGCCUUGUACACUUUACAGGAGUGAAGUAUAUCUCAGCAGAGCUGUUAUUAAAUAAAUAGUUGUGUCACCUGUC
RNA transcript from Sus scrofa (pig), 1563 nucleotides. It is a transcript of the gene named ARV1 homolog, fatty acid homeostasis modulator, with no coding region annotated. The record is from RefSeq and is marked validated. NCBI's taxonomy places the organism in Eukaryota, Metazoa, Chordata, Mammalia, Artiodactyla, Suidae.